CUCUUUCCAAAAAGUGCUUAACCUUCCUUAUCCAUGGCUUAACCCUCGAAAUUCCGCCAAAACAUGCUCAAAAUCCUCCAGAAUGUGAACCUAACUCCUUCCCAAAACGUGCUCCAAGAGUCCUCCCUUUGACCAACCAUCGUUCCAUCUAAAAAACAUACCGAAUCUUUCCCCCAAAAUGAACUUGAUUUUUCUUUCCAGAACAUUGCUCC
Molecule: long non-coding RNA, 212 nt
Filed under: Vitis vinifera (wine grape)
Lineage: Eukaryota; Viridiplantae; Streptophyta; Magnoliopsida; Vitales; Vitaceae
Description: long non-coding RNA (VVIN_LNC007217)
Source: RNAcentral